GAUGAACGCUGGCGGCGUGCCUAAUACAUGCAAGUCGAGCGAACGGACGAGAAGCUUGCUUCUCUGAUGUUAGAGGCGGACGGGAGAGUAACACGUGGAUAACCUACCUAUAAGACUGGGAUAACUUCGGGAAACCGGAGCUAAUACCGGAUAAUAUUUUGAACCGCAUGGUUCAAAAGUGAAAGACGGUCUUGCUGUCACUUAUAGAUGGAUCCGCGCUGCAUUAGCUAGUUGGUAAGGUAACGGCUUACCAAGGCAACGAUGCAUAGCCGACCUGAGAGGGUGAUCGGCCACACUGGAACUGAGACACGGUCCAGACUCCUACGGGAGGCAGCAGUAGGGAAUCUUCCGCAAUGGGCGAAAGCCUGACGGAGCAACGCCGCGUGAGUGAUGAAGGUCUUCGGAUCGUAAAACUCUGUUAUUAGGGAAGAACAUAUGUGUAAGUAACUGUGCACAUCUUGACGGUACCUAAUCAGAAAGCCACGGCUAACUACGUG
This 497-nucleotide ribosomal RNA is filed under the name uncultured bacterium. Its description in RNAcentral is "partial 16S ribosomal RNA". It matches the Rfam family "Bacterial small subunit ribosomal RNA", at positions 28 to 507 of the family's 1533-position model. The record is from RNAcentral.